This 682-nucleotide long non-coding RNA is filed under the name Vigna radiata. RNAcentral describes it as "long non-coding RNA (VRAD_LNC010949)". The record is from RNAcentral. Lineage: Eukaryota; Viridiplantae; Streptophyta; Magnoliopsida; Fabales; Fabaceae.
CCGGUCAAUCCAAGAAUGAAGAAGGACAUCAAUAGCUUCUUGGUAAGGGGUGGUCUACUUCGUCUACAACCAGUAUGGUAAAAAUGUACAAUUAGGAUACUCACGUAUCAGAAAUAAAGAAAAUACUAACUCACAAGAGAGCACAAAAAAUGUUUCAGGUUAAAUUUCCACUUCUAAAGUUUGACUGUGUAUCCAGUUAAAUGCACAAAAACAGGUCAUCAUAAGACGGGUCCCUGGAACCAUUAUCAGUAGACAAGUAGAACACUUUUACAAUUACUGGAUGAUGAUUAUGAACAAGUCUAAGCCAAUUGGCACACUUAAAUACAAAGAUUAACUGUCAUUUCAGUGUAAAGAAUUUUUACAACGUUAACAAAUCAGAAAAUUUCGAACACUGUUUCUCCAAAUACUUUCUAUAAGAAAAUCAAUUUAUUUUGACAUUGUGGAGAAAAGUUUUACACGCUCUCAUAGCAUGCCAAUUAGAUUCUUUAUCUUCCAAUACAACAUAAUCAGUAACAGUUGAAGGAAAAGGGGAAAAAGAGCAUGCCUUUCAAGAAAAAAAGCGAGAGGAGCAAGAAUAGUGAAGGCAAGGAGAUCCCUGUAGAAGCAGAAAACUAGUUGGUUGACCCCAACAUUAAGGGCCACUUUUGUGAUUACAUGGUAGCCACCAUAGAAUGCCUGCGAC